Molecule: ribosomal RNA, 110 nt
Filed under: uncultured eukaryote
Lineage: Eukaryota
Description: partial small subunit ribosomal RNA
Rfam family: Eukaryotic small subunit ribosomal RNA
Source: RNAcentral
UCGCUACUACCGAUUGAGUGUUUUAGUGAGGACCUCGGAUUGCUUGCUGGGCGGUUCGCGCUGCCUAGCUGGCGAAAAGACGUCCAAACUGUAGCACUUAGAGGAAGUAA